RNAcentral lists this ribosomal RNA (270 nucleotides) under uncultured Planctomycetota bacterium. RNAcentral describes it as "uncultured planctomycete partial 16S ribosomal RNA". It matches the Rfam family "Bacterial small subunit ribosomal RNA", at positions 565 to 833 of the family's 1533-position model. The record is from RNAcentral. Lineage: Bacteria; Pseudomonadati; Planctomycetota.
GAGCACGUAGGUGGGUUUGUAAGUCAGAUGUGAAAGCCUCCUGUUCAACGGGAGAAUUGCAUCUGAAACUACUGAUCUUGAGUGUAGGAGGGGAGAAUGGAACUUCUGGUGGAGCGGUGAAAUGCGUAGAUAUCAGAAGGAACGCCGGCGGCGAAAGCGAUUCUCUGGCCUAUUACUGACACUCAGUGUGCGAAAGCUAGGGGAGCAAACGGGAUUAGAUACCCCGGUAGUCCUAGCCGUAAACGAUGGGCACUAAGUAGAGGGGUUAAU